UUUCCGUAGGUGAACCUGCGGAAGGAUCAUUAAAGAAUCGCCCCGUUUUUUAUAAAUGGGUUCUAUUCCCAAACCGUGUAUACAUACCUUUGUUGCUUUGGCAGGCCGCCUCCGGGCGUCGGCUCCGGCUGAUAGUGCCUGCCAGAGGACCCAAACUCUGUGUUAGUGAUGUCUGAGUACUAUAUAAUAGUUAAGACUUUCAACAACGGAUCUCUUGGUUCUG
RNAcentral lists this unclassified non-coding RNA (223 nucleotides) under plant metagenome. RNAcentral's name for it is "partial contains small subunit ribosomal RNA, internal transcribed spacer 1, and 5.8S ribosomal RNA". The record is from RNAcentral.